UACGUAGGGUGCAAGCGUUGUCCGGAAUUAUUGGGCGUAAAGAGCUCGUAGGCGGUCUGUCGCGUCGGAUGUGAAAUCCCUCGGCUUAACCGAGGAACUGCGUCCGAUACUGAAAGGCUUGAAUCCGGGAGAGGGAUGUGGAAUUCCAGGUGUAGCGGUGAAAUGCGUAGAUAUCUGGAGGAACACCGGUGGCGAAGGCGGCAUCCUGGACCGGCAUUGACGCUGAGGCGCGAAAGCUAGGGGAGCAAACGGG
This 253-nucleotide ribosomal RNA is filed under the name uncultured bacterium. RNAcentral describes it as "partial 16S ribosomal RNA". It matches the Rfam family "Bacterial small subunit ribosomal RNA", at positions 524 to 776 of the family's 1533-position model. The record is from RNAcentral.